RNAcentral lists this transfer RNA (58 nucleotides) under Yersinia pestis PY-95. RNAcentral describes it as "partial tRNA-OTHER". It matches the Rfam family "tRNA", at positions 1 to 56 of the family's 71-position model. Rfam says of the family: Transfer RNA (tRNA) molecules are approximately 80 nucleotides in length. The record is from RNAcentral. Lineage: Bacteria; Pseudomonadati; Pseudomonadota; Gammaproteobacteria; Enterobacterales; Yersiniaceae.
GGGUCGUUAGCUCAGUUGGUAGAGCAGUUGACUUUUAAUCAAUUGGUCGCAGGUUCGA